CAAAGAAUAGUUUAUAAAAAUAAUAAUUUUGGAAAUUAUAGAUAAAGAAAAUCUUUUUCUUUGA
RNAcentral lists this transfer RNA (64 nucleotides) under Euthalia kardama. RNAcentral describes it as "tRNA-Pro". The record is from RNAcentral. Lineage: Eukaryota; Metazoa; Arthropoda; Insecta; Lepidoptera; Nymphalidae.